Molecule: ribosomal RNA, 194 nt
Filed under: uncultured bacterium
Lineage: Bacteria
Description: partial 16S ribosomal RNA
Rfam family: Bacterial small subunit ribosomal RNA
Source: RNAcentral
CCUACGGGAGGCAGCAGUGGGGAAUUUUGGACAAUGGGCGAAAGCCUGAUCCAGCCAUGCCGCGUGAGUGAAGAAGGCCUUCGGGUUGUAAAGCUCUUUCAGCCGGAAAGAAAUCGCGCAGGAUAAUACUCUGCGUGGAUGACGGUACCGGAAGAAGAAGCACCGGCUAACUACGUGCCAGCAGCCGCGGUAAU